GAUGAACGCUGGCGGCGUGCUUAACACAUGCAAGUCGAACGAACCUUCGGGUUAGUGGCGGACGGGUGAGUAACGCGUGAGAAUCUGCCCUCAGGAGGGGGAUAACGGUUGGAAACGACCGCUAAUACCCCAUAUGCCGAGAGGUGAAAAGAAAUUCGCCUGAGGAUGAGCUCGCGUCUGAUUAGCUAGUUGGUGUGGUAAUGGCGCACCAAGGCUUCGAUCAGUAGCUGGUCUGAGAGGAUGAUCAGCCACACUGGGACUGAGACACGGCCCAGACUCCUACGGGAGGCAGCAGUGGGGAAUUUUCCACAAUGGGCGCAAGCCUGACGGAGCAACGCCGCGUGAGGGAUGAAGGCCUC
RNAcentral lists this ribosomal RNA (359 nucleotides) under uncultured bacterium. RNAcentral's name for it is "bacterial SSU rRNA". It matches the Rfam family "Bacterial small subunit ribosomal RNA", at positions 28 to 418 of the family's 1533-position model. The record is from RNAcentral.